This 404-nucleotide ribosomal RNA is filed under the name Collodes gibbosus. RNAcentral's name for it is "partial 16S ribosomal RNA". Lineage: Eukaryota; Metazoa; Arthropoda; Malacostraca; Decapoda; Inachoididae. The record is from RNAcentral.
CAUAAUCAUUAGUUUUUUAAUUGGAAGCUUGUAUGAAAGAUUGAACAAGAAAAAAACUGUUUCUAUAAUAAGAUUUGAAUUUAACUUUUAAGUUAAAAGGCUUAAAUAAUCUAGAGGGACGAUAAGACCCUAUAAAUCUUUAUAUAAAAAAAAGUUUAAUAAAUAUAGAUUGUAAAGUUAAAAUUUGUAUUAUAUUUAAUUGGGGCGAUAUAAUUAUAAUUAUAGUUAACUAGUUAUUAAUUAUACACAAAUUAUUUGAGUAUUAGAUGAUCCUUAAUAAAGAAUAAUAGAUUAAGUUACUUUAGGGAUAACAGCAUAAUUUCUUUUGAGAGUUCAUAUUGAAGAAGAAGAUUGUGACCUCGAUGUUUAAUUAAAAUUUCUUUAUAGUGCAGCAGCUAUAAGAG